RNAcentral lists this ribosomal RNA (253 nucleotides) under uncultured bacterium. Its description in RNAcentral is "partial 16S ribosomal RNA". It matches the Rfam family "Bacterial small subunit ribosomal RNA", at positions 524 to 776 of the family's 1533-position model. The record is from RNAcentral.
UACGAAGGGUGCAAGCGUUAUUCGGAGUUACUGGGCGUAAAGAGCGUGUAGGCGGCUUGUUAAGUUAGGUGUUAAAGACCUUGGCUCAACCGAGGAAAAGCAACUAAAACUGGCAAACUAGAGGGUAAGAGAGAGAAGUAGAAUUCUUGGAGUAGCGGUAAAAUGCGUAGAUCUCAAGAGGAAUACCGGUUGCGAAGGCAGCUUCUUGGCUUAUACCUGACGCUAAAGCGCGAAAGCGUGGGGAGCAAACAGG